This 371-nucleotide ribosomal RNA is filed under the name uncultured bacterium. RNAcentral's name for it is "bacterial SSU rRNA". It matches the Rfam family "Bacterial small subunit ribosomal RNA", at positions 524 to 898 of the family's 1533-position model. The record is from RNAcentral.
UACGUAGGGGGCAAGCGUUGUCCGGAUUUAUUGGGCGUAAAGGGUGCGUAGGCGGCCUUUUAAGUCAGAUGUGAAAGGUCACGGCUCAACCGUGGUAAGCAUUUGAAACUGAAAGGCUUGAGUUAAGGAGAGGAAAGUGGAAUUCCUAGUGUAGCGGUGAAAUGCGUAGAGAUUAGGAGGAAUACCAGUGGCGAAGGCGACUUUCUGGACUUAUACUGACGCUGAGGCACGAAAGCGUGGGGAGCGAACAGGAUUAGAUACCCUGGUAGUCCACGCCGUAAACGAUGAGCGCUAGGUGUUGGGGGUCAAACCUCGGUGCCGCAGCUAACGCAUUAAGCGCUCCGCCUGGGGAGUACGUGCGCAAGCAUGAA